AGUGAACGCUGGCGGUAGGCCUAACACAUGCAAGUCGAACGGCAGCACAGUAAGAGCUUGCUCUUACGGGUGGCGAGUGGCGGACGGGUGAGGAAUACAUCGGAAUCUACUUUUUCGUGGGGGAUAACGAAGGGAAACUUACGCUAAUACCGCAUACGACCUACGGGUGAAAGCAGGGGAUCUUCGGACCUUGCGCGAUUGAAUGAGCCGAUGUCGGAUUAGCUAGUUGGCGGGGUAAAGGCCCACCAAGGCGACGAUCCGUAGCUGGUCUGAGAGGAUGAUCAGCCACACUGGAACUGAGACACGGUCCAGACUCCUACGGGAGGCAGCAGUGGGGAAUAUUGGACAAUGGGCGCAAGCCUGAUCCAGCCAUACCGCGUGGGUGAAGAAGGCCUUCGGGUUGUAAAGCCCUUUUGUUGGGAAAGAAAAGCAGCAGGUUAAUACCCCGCUGUUCUGACGGUACCCAAAGAAGAAGCACCGGCUAACUUCGUG
This 492-nucleotide ribosomal RNA is filed under the name uncultured bacterium. RNAcentral describes it as "partial 16S ribosomal RNA". It matches the Rfam family "Bacterial small subunit ribosomal RNA", at positions 29 to 507 of the family's 1533-position model. The record is from RNAcentral.